RNAcentral lists this ribosomal RNA (503 nucleotides) under uncultured bacterium. Its description in RNAcentral is "partial 16S ribosomal RNA". It matches the Rfam family "Bacterial small subunit ribosomal RNA", at positions 28 to 523 of the family's 1533-position model. The record is from RNAcentral.
GAUGAACGCUAGCUACAGGCUUAACACAUGCAAGUCGAGGGGCAGCAUUCUUCUAGCAAUAGAAGAGAUGGCGACCGGCGCACGGGUGAGUAACACGUAUCCAACCUACCGAUAACUCCGGAAUAGCCUUUCGAAAGAAAGAUUAAUACCGGAUAGUAUACGAAUAUCGCAUGAUAUUUUUAUUAAAGAAUUUCGGUUAUCGAUGGGGAUGCGUUCCAUUAGUUUGUUGGCGGGGUAACGGCCCACCAAGACUACGAUGGAGAGGGGUUCUGAGAGGAAGGUCCCCCACAUUGGAACUGAGACGCGGUCCAAACUCCUACGGGAGGCAGCAGUGAGGAAUAUUGGUCAAUGGGCGCGAGCCUGAACCAGCCAAGUAGCGUGAAGGAUGAAGGCUCUAUGGGUCGUAAACUUCUUUUAUAUGGGAAUAAAGUUUUCCACGUGUGGAAUUUUGUAUGUACCAUAUGAAUAAGGAUCGGCUAACUCCGUGCCAGCCGCCGCGGUAA